UACGGGGGGGGCAAGCGUUGUUCGGAAUUACUGGGCGUAAAGGGCGCGUAGGCGGUUUGCUAAGUUGGAUGUGAAAACUCUGGGCUUAACCCAGAGCCUGCAUCCAAAACUGGCAAACUUGAGUACUGGAGGGGAAAGCGGAAUUCCUGGUGUAGCGGUGAAAUGCGUAGAUAUCAGGAGGAACACCGGUGGCGAAGGCGGCAUCCUGGACCGGUAUUGACGCUGAGGCGCGAAAGCGUGGGGAGCAAACAGG
This 253-nucleotide ribosomal RNA is filed under the name uncultured bacterium. Its description in RNAcentral is "partial 16S ribosomal RNA". It matches the Rfam family "Bacterial small subunit ribosomal RNA", at positions 524 to 776 of the family's 1533-position model. The record is from RNAcentral.